AACCUGGUUGGGUGGUCUGCCUUCACGGUACGUACUGCUUGGCCGGGUUCUACCUCUUGGUGAGCCGGCAUGCCCUUCACUGGGUGUGUCGGGGAACCAGGACUUUUACCUUGAAAAAAUUAGAGUGUUUAAAGCAGGCAUCCGCUUGAAUACAUUAGCAUGGAAUAACAGAAUAAGACU
Molecule: ribosomal RNA, 180 nt
Filed under: uncultured Glomeromycotina
Lineage: Eukaryota; Fungi; Glomeromycota
Description: partial small subunit ribosomal RNA
Source: RNAcentral